This is a long non-coding RNA of Pogoniulus pusillus (Red-fronted tinkerbird), 6443 nucleotides long. RefSeq lists it as uncharacterized. NCBI's taxonomy places the organism in Eukaryota, Metazoa, Chordata, Aves, Piciformes, Lybiidae. The record is from RefSeq and is a predicted model, not a curated record. The transcript has 2 exons.
UUUGCAUUCACCAGAAGUGCACUCCUUAAUUUAUUACAUCGUUGACUAGUAAUUUCAAGUACUGUAUUUAAGUGCGUAUGUUAGUCAAAAUGGGAACAAUAACUUUUGGAGAUCAAAAGCAUGUUCAAAUAUUCAGCAUUAUGGCCUAUUUGGUUAAGGUGUAACUUGAAUUAAUUAGUGCAUGAAUUCAAUACUACUACUACUAAUGCUAAUAACAGUAAGACUGAUAACAGUAAUUAAACAAACAAAAAAAAAAAACCAACAAAAAAAGCCACCAACAAAGUCUUUUUAAAAGUGCUUGGUAGACUGAGGGCCUGAAAGAAUUGAUUAGAGAAGAAACCUGAUUGUUUUCCUGCAUUGCUCAGGGAAAUGUGUUGGCUUUUGUCCAGGCAUUCUGGGAAAGGAACAUACCCCAUCCCUUACAGGGAAAGCUAUAUGGAAAAUGAAUUAGUCAGGUUAGAUACAGCAACACCUAAACCCUAGUAUCCUUUAAUAGCUGAAAGGUGCAGAUGAUGCAUGCUUUUUGGUGCAUUCUCAGAAUGUAAAUGAAACCUACCUAUCAAUAUGCAUCCAAAUUGCAGCAGCUGGUUUCUUUUGCAGUCAUUAGUUUGUGAGUUGUUUUUUUUUUUCUAUCCCCCUAAAAUUCACCCAAGAGACUCAACGGACUGAGUUAAGAGAGUUGUGCAGUGCCUUUUUUUAUCUUCCAUCCCUUAAAGUACUGAAAGUGCCUCCAGGAACUGAGCUGAUCAGAGACAGCGAAGGAAAGGGCAAGGCCCCGGUUGUUGUGUUAGGGAUGUUUUGUGCUGCCUCUUGGUGCAGCACAGAAGGGGGCAGAGAAAGAGAGAAGGAGCAGGAGUGAGUGAGAGGGGUGCAGAAGAGGUGGGCAGAAAUCACCAGUGCCCAUGGGAUACUUUCCUUCCCCAGUCAGUCUCCUGCUGACGGGCUCAGGAAUUGCUUCUGCCAAAUAACCGGCAGUCGUGCUUGUGCAAGACUUCAAGUUUCCCUGGACUGUGGAUAGAGACAUCACUGCCAUCAUUGUACCUGCCCUUCCUCUCCAUGAGACGGCUUUUUGACAGCCUGCCCUGUCCUGGCAGGAUGCGGAAGGAAGUAGAGAUCAGCAUGAACUGUGGCAUUGCCCAGUCAGGCAAUCAGGCUGCAGGGCCAUCAUUUUCUUUCCCUUAGAUUCCUUAGCAGGUAUGUGGGAGAGGCAUUCCAGUGCUGUCCCACUCCUGCCUCCCCACUUCCCUUGCACCAGUCUGUCAGAUCUUAAAUCCCAUCACAGAUUCUUUGAGCUUUAUUUUUUUUCUGGACCCUAACCUUACUGUACAUUCAUCUGGUGAAGGAAGCAAAGGCACUAGGAGAAGGUAUCUUCUGCAAUAUGCCACCCUUGUCUGCUAGGCCCUGGAACUUAAUAACUUUCAUUCUGAACUACUGUAGGCACUAAGCUUUAUUUUUCAAGUGGAAAAAGUUGAGAAUCUUCAUUCUGCACUUAGCAUGUGGCCAAACUGCUGAUGAACACUUCUUCCACACUGUACAGAUCCUUUCUUCCCCACCUUUCUAAUAUAUGUGUGUAAAUGUACACGUGUGCCUGCACAUGUGUGUAUCACACCUGUGCAGACACAUACACACACACAUAUAAAGUCAAGGCACUUAGAGGUAAAACCAACCCUAGCUCUGCAGUUAAUGCACAAGCCUAACUUGCCAGGUUUCCAGAAAGAUUUGACUUUAUUUCUCCUUGUGUGGCUUCUGUGAAUCUUGAUGAUGAGAAAGUAAUCAAGAACUGAGGGAACUCUUAACUCCUGCAAGAAAUGCAAAGCAUCAGCUAAAACAGGGCAUUACAUCCUCUAGGUAGGUGUAAAACUUCCUUACUGUCCUUUGCUCACUCCCCUGCCCCUUGUGUACCUCUCACCCCAUUAAAUUCUGGUGGUCUGAAUCUUCCCAGACUCCUGAAUUUUACAGAACAGGACUUCCUGUGUCUAAACGGACUUGAGUGUUGCACUCAGCUUAUAAAGCAACCAACUGACUAAACUAAACUGCAAUAAUUCAUUCAGUGCCGUGGAACCGAUGAUCAGAAAGUAGCAUCUAGGAGAUGAGACCUCACUUUGGUAACUUAAAUUCUGCCACAUCUUAAUUUAAUGAGUAGAAUGAUAAUCAUUCCUCAUAUGGAAAGGGAAAAAUGCUUCAUGAAGCAGUUCUUCUUUGUUAGGAGACUGCGAUGGAUCCUUAGGGCUCUGGAUGAUUUGGGGAGCCUGAAUGUUGCUUCAUCCAUUUAUAGCUCACUGCAAAGGAUCUCAGUACAUGUGGAGAGCAGGAAUUAACCUCAGGUAGCAUAGCCAUGCUUUUUUGGCACAUUUGACACAAAAAAAAAUAGCAGCAGGAAAAGAAAAAGGCUCUUACUCCCUUUACAGAGGAGUGCUGAAAUGCCUUUGUGGGCCUGAAGGUGCACUUAACAAACUGCCUGUUCUUAAGACUAAACAUCCUUGCCCUUGCCCUUUUUUCUCCCUCUUUUGGCACAUGUUUCUUUCAGCCACACGUGAGCUCUGUGUGGCUGUCAAUGUGAAUAGGAGAUGACUGGAAAUGAGCUGAUGGCCAGUGUAAUGCAUCUGUGAAAGUCAACAGACCUUCAUUCAUGUGGUAGCGACCUCUCAGAAGCAGUGUCCGUGUUAUGCUGGACAAAGAAACUAGCAGAUACGGUGGUGUUAGCUGGGUUGUAGUUUGAUGAGGCAAGGUAGGUAUUCCAGCUACUCAAGUCUCCUUUACCAGCCACUGCUCUGUGCUUCUUAGUGGCUCCCACAGAGCUUUUUCUUCAUCCACUUUGUGAAGAAGAUGCAGAAACUUAUCUGAAUGUGCAAGGCAGAAGUGCAUUGCACUGCAGAGAUCUGAAUGUGCAAGGCAGCAGUGCAUUGCACUGCAGAGGCAGGAACGAAGUGAGGAGGCAGUGGGCAGGAAUCCCAAAGGCUGGUAUCACUGCCAGAAUUCCCCAUCUGGUCCUACCAUAGCACAGAGCACUAGGGAACGGGCAAAGGAGCAAGAAGGAGAGUGAAAAUGAAAAGCUCUGUACACCUUUCCUUCACAGGACUGAGAGGUUGCUGCCAGAUCACCAAGAGCUGCAAUCCUCUGUGUGACAGCUCCAACAGUGGUCUGGAUUUAGUCUCUGUAUCUUUUUCAUGAGGAAAUUAGUGUGCUUCAGUAAGCCAGGGUGUGAGUUCACAGCCUCCUAGCAAACCCGUGCAGAUUCACUGCGUGGAGUCUCUUAAGCCUUAUCUCCACCGGGGACUUGAGGAAAGCUAAUCCGAAUUAAUGAAAGGUGUGCAUUUAAAGCAGAUUUGUUAAACUGCUUUAAAGCCCAGCAUGGACAUUCUGUUGCAGCAUAAAAGCAACCUUAAUCUGAUUUGGAGUCAUUCUUUUUUUUUCUUUCUUGAAAGGAAAGUAAAUCUGAAUUGAAUUAAGGCUGCUUUAAUUCUGAACACAAUGGGGCUUAAUGCAGUUUACCUCAUCUGCCUCACAAGUUCAUUCAGACAGAAAAGCCUUUAGUAAUCAUUAAAUGUAAUGGAACUGACACUGCUUUGCAGGGGGGGAUGGCUGGGCAGAGUGUGGCCACGUGCUGCAAAACUCUGUGCGAGCAUACACAAAAAGUGAGGGAGUGCUGGAAAUUCACACACUGGCUUACUGAGGGCUAACUGCUGUUCCUGGUAACAGCCCUAGUGAUUUCCUUCCUUUCUUCCUGGUUUGCACAUUUGUAGACAUGAGGAGAAUCAGUCCUGCUGCCUUCUGGGAAGCUGACAAUGAGCAUGGCCCAAGGAAAUUAAUUUCCACUUGCAAAGUCUCUGUGCAGGUGUUUGGCCUGUUCAUCAAGUGGACAGGCACUUGAAAGAGAGUAUGGAGCACUAGAGACAGGGCAAAAAUCAGCUGCAGAAGCCCUCUUGCUUGCAGCACUGGUUUUGUCCAAGUAGAGACUGCAGGGCUCAGACCCUCCUUAGCAAAUCAGCUGUGCCAUUCCUCAGAGGCUGCAUUGGCCCGAGCCAACAAUCGGAGCAGUGGCAACUUUCAUUGCCAAAUUCUUAAUCCUUUUGAGGAAAAAAAAGUCUUUGCUAAGGGAAAAAAAAGUGUUUUUCACUAGACAGGACUGCAGAAAGUUUGUUUCCGUUAUAAGAGAGCUGAAGCCCAAGUGUGACAUGAAAAAAAAACCUUGCUUGUUUUUAGAUCCUAAGGAAGUGAGAGCAAGUUCCACUUUUCCACAGCUGACACUUGGACAGGGCAGUUUCUUACAUGCACAUGGAUAAAGCUAAACAAAAUAAAUGCCAGGACCAGAAACAGCUGAAAUUUUACUAGGAAAAAUGUGGAGAGUUAGACUCUAGAAUAAGAUCUUCUGCAUACCUAUGGAAAGAAUAUAUUCCUUUCCAAAUAUUACCUUGAGAACUGUUUUUAGAGAGGCUCCAUUCUGGAUUAAAUCCUUUCCCCCGCACACAUGAAGAGGAGGGAAGUACUGCAGCUUUUCCAGGAACAGUCUGAUCCUGUAGGCUUCCAGCAACCACUGACAGGCACACUCAUUUCAGACUCGCAGGAGCACAGAGCCAGCUCCAAAGUGGUGAUUUCCCUCCCUGGCUACAGAGGUGGAUUACAUUGGAAAUCUGCCCUUGCAAUUGCACAGUGAGUUUGGUCCAGACUUGCCUACCACUAGUCUGAACCAACCUCGUUUUCUGAGAUGCUUUAACCAAGGGACCUACAUUGCAGAUUUGGCUGAACUUAACUUAAGGCUGAGUUUCUUCCCCUGCCCCGUUUUCUGGCUUUACUUAAUCAGGUGUAGAGAAUUUAAUUAGUUCCCCCUCUCCCCCAAAUUCUUAUCAAGUACUCUUAAAGGUGUCAGUACUCACAUUGGUGAAAAUGAAACUUCAGGGUGUUCUACUGUUUCACUCAGUGCAGGUGAACUUGCCAGGGUGUUCUACUGUUUUAUUCAGUGCAGGUGAACUUGCCAGGGUGUUCUGCUGUUUUACUCAGUGCAGGUGAACUUGCCAGGGUGUUCUACUGUUUUACUCAGUGCAGGUGAACUUGCCAGGGUGUUCUGCUGUUUUACUCAGUGCAGGUGAACUUACCAGGGUGUUCUACUGUUUUACUCAGUGCAGGUGAACUUGCCAGGGUGUUCUACUGUUUUAUUCAGUGCAGGUGAACUUGCCAGGGUGUUCUGCUGUUUUACUCAGUGCAGGUGAACUUGCCAGGGUGUUCUGCUGUUUCGCUCAGUGCAGGUGAACUUGCCAGGGUGUUCUGCUGUUUCGCUCAGUGCAGAUGAACUUGCCAGGGUGUUCUGCUGUUUUGCUCAGUGCAGGUGAAAUUGCCAGGGUGUUCUACUGUUUUACUCAGUGCAGGUGAACUUGCCAGGGUGUUCUGCUGUUUUACUCAGUGCAGGUGAACUUGCCAGGGUGUUCUGCUGUUUUACUCAGUGCAGGUGAACUUGCCAGGGUGUUCUCCUGUUUUACUCAGUGCAGGUGAACCUGCCACCGGUGAGGUCAACCAUUUAUGCUGUCAAAGCCGAGCUUGCUUUGAUGUUCUUAAAGGAAACAAAAUGAAAGCGAGGUCUUAACUGAAAUUUGUCUCUAAGUAUCUGUUAAUAUCUAUGUCACUCUGUAUAUUUCACCUGUUCAGAAGCUCCAGCAAAUGUCAAUACGAGUUACAUAUGGAAAAAAACCCAACCCCAACCCCCCCUCAUCUUCCAUUUCUAGUUUCUCUAAUAAAAUGAAAAGGUUGCAUUCAGUUCCUUUAGGUGCAUGAGUCUUUGAUCCAUGUUAUUGUUUCAGUGACAUUUCUAAUGAUGUACUCGGGGUCAAAUGUAUAUUUUACUUUUGUACAAAAGUAAAGGAUGGUAUUUUUAAGACUCGAUUCAGCAAAACCCUACUUAUAACCUGCUAAAAUUAUUUUUUGCCCCUUCUCCUUUCCAUGUGAACCAUUGGUUUGGGGUCUUCUUUUUGUUUGUUUUUGGCUUUGUUUUUUGCACUAUGUCGGUUUGAAAUGAACAAAUAACAGCUGUCAGUAGAACUGUAUGUGGCCUCUCAGACAAUACCUCUGACUUUAAGGAUCAAAAUCUUACCCACAUGAAAUCUAUUAACUCAAUAGUCUCCAUAGAAAAGUGCACCACCAGGGCAACAAACCAUUGAAGCUGACACAGCUGUGUUUUAUUUUCUACCAUUUACAAAUGGCUUACACUUUGGGUCAAGUAUGUACUCCAUUGUCACAUUUUACUUCCAGUAGUGAAAUUGUUUGACUUAACCAUUUAUAUAUAUAUAUAAAUGUGUUGUUGUUUUUUUUUUUUUUUUUUAAACUUCUAUCAUUAUAUGAGUUCUUGAACUAUUUGAAAUGCAUAGUUUUGGUCUAUGCAAUUUUACCUGCUUCUGUACUUGUUCAUCUGUUCAUACUUGGCAUCAAUUAAAGAUAAUUUUUAAGGAUCUUAA